This 301-nucleotide ribosomal RNA is filed under the name uncultured bacterium. Its description in RNAcentral is "partial 16S ribosomal RNA". It matches the Rfam family "Bacterial small subunit ribosomal RNA", at positions 509 to 809 of the family's 1533-position model. The record is from RNAcentral.
CAGCAGCCGCGGUAAAACGGAGGGCGCGAGCGUUACCCGGAUUUACUGGGCGUAAAGGGCGUGUAGGCGGCCUGGGGCGUCCCAUGUGAAAGGCCACGGCUCAACCGUGGAGGAGCGUGGGAUACGCUCAGGCUAGAGGGUGGGAGAGGGUGGUGGAAUUCCCGGAGUAGCGGUGAAAUGCGCAGAUACCGGGAGGAACGCCGAUGGCGAAGGCAGCCACCUGGUCCACUUCUGACGCUGAGGCGCGAAAGCGUGGGGAGCAAACCGGAUUAGAUACCCCUGUAGUCCCUGUCUCUUAUAA